UACGGAGGAUCCAAGCGUUAUCCGGAAUCAUUGGGUUUAAAGGGUCCGUAGGCGGUUUGGUAAGUCAGUGGUGAAAGCCCAUCGCUCAACGGUGGAACGGCCAUUGAUACUGCCAGACUUGAAUUAUUAGGAAGUAACUAGAAUAUGUAGUGUAGCGGUGAAAUGCUUAGAGAUUACAUGGAAUACCAAUUGCGAAGGCAGGUUACUACUAAUGGAUUGACGCUGAUGGACGAAGGCGUGGGUAGCGAACAGG
RNAcentral lists this ribosomal RNA (253 nucleotides) under uncultured bacterium. RNAcentral describes it as "partial 16S ribosomal RNA". It matches the Rfam family "Bacterial small subunit ribosomal RNA", at positions 524 to 776 of the family's 1533-position model. The record is from RNAcentral.